UCUGCUGCUUUUACUACUUUUAACCAAUGAGGAGGAACUGGAGGAUGGACUUGUAAGCUUGCCAUAGGGUCUUGAAAGUGGUUAAGCUUGACUUUAAUGAACCUUCAUGACAGUAUGAGUGGUCAGGUAUGAGAGGUUGGUCAUCCUUCUCUAUGGUUAAGGCAGUUGCACAUUCAGCACACUUGAUGCAACUUGUAAUUUUCUUGGCUAUGUAUCCACUGAUAUAGCUAGCUUGCUUUCACUUACAACAGAGCAGUUGGCAGUUGCUGGGGCUGUCAUGUAUUGAACAAAGAAACAUCAGUAGUUUACUUAUCUUGUACGUAAGUGUCAUAAAAUGAACAAACUGAGCAGUAUGAUACAAUUUUUGUCAGAAGUCAUUAGUUGCAUGUUAAUAAUGUGAUGCAAUUUAGACAUUUGUAGUUAUAAAAUUGUAUUGCCAUUGGAAACAACUGGUAUCAUAGAUGGUGUUGUAGCUAUAGCAUAAUAAAAACAUAUACAAUAACUAAGUAUGAUAAGCAUAAAAGUCACAUAUAUUUUAUUCACAGCUAUAUCUUAUAAUAAUCUCAGCCAUAACCAGCAUUUUUAUUUGCUCAUGCUAUCUUAAUCUUGCUGUGUUCACUUACUGUAAAAACAAUAGAUUUCUAAUGAAAUGAGCAAUGAUGCAGUGAAAUUUACAUAGCAAGUGUAAAACAUUCAUUCUGGAUAUGCCACCGAUGACAUCCAUAUCAAAUAUUUCAUAAGAUAAUAUAUAAAUUUAAUGAACACCUUAGCUCUAGUAAAAAAAUACUUUAUACAGAGCUUUAUAACUAUCUCAAAAAAUAGUAUUGUAACAGUAUCUUGGGUUAUGUGUUUGAAUGUAAUUAUGUCAGAUUUUGAAAUAACCACUGUUAAUAUAACAAGCUUCUGAACAUAA
Long non-coding RNA from Xenia sp. Carnegie-2017, 913 nucleotides. RefSeq lists it as uncharacterized. The transcript has 2 exons. Lineage: Eukaryota; Metazoa; Cnidaria; Anthozoa; Malacalcyonacea; Xeniidae. The record is from RefSeq and is a predicted model, not a curated record.